GUGCCAGCAGCCGCGGUAAUACGUAGGGUGCAAGCAUUAAUCGGAUUUAUUGGGCGUAAAGGGCGCGUAGGCGGGGACGUAAGUCAGAUGUGAAAUCCCGGGGCUCAACCUCGGAACAGCAUUUGAAACUACGUUUCUAGAGGGUAGGCGGAGAAAACGGAAUUCCACAAGUAGCGGUGAAAUGCGUAGAUAUGUGGAAGAACACCAGUGGCGAAGGCGGUUUUCUAGCUUAUACCUGACGCUAAAGCGCGAAAGCAAGGGGAGCAAACAGGAUUAGAUACCCUGGUAGUCCUUGCCGUAAACGAUGUAUACUUGGUGUAGCUGGAUUCAACCCUGGCUGUGCCGGAGCUAACGCGUUAAGUAUACCGCCUGGGGAGUACAGUCGCAAGGCUGAA
RNAcentral lists this ribosomal RNA (395 nucleotides) under uncultured bacterium. Its description in RNAcentral is "bacterial SSU rRNA". It matches the Rfam family "Bacterial small subunit ribosomal RNA", at positions 505 to 898 of the family's 1533-position model. The record is from RNAcentral.